This 440-nucleotide ribosomal RNA is filed under the name uncultured bacterium. RNAcentral describes it as "partial 16S ribosomal RNA". It matches the Rfam family "Bacterial small subunit ribosomal RNA", at positions 338 to 795 of the family's 1533-position model. The record is from RNAcentral.
CCUACGGGAGGCAGCAGUGGGGAAUAUUGCACAAUGGGGGAAACCCUGAUGCAGCGACGCCGCGUGAGUGAAGAAGUAUUUCGGUACGUAAAGCUCUAUCAGCAGGGAAGAAAAUGACGGUACCUGACUAAGAAGCCCCGGCUAACUACGUGCCAGCAGCCGCGGUAAUACGUAGGGGGCAAGCGUUAUCCGGAUUUACUGGGUGUAAAGGGAGCGUAGGCGGCAGCGCAAGUCUGGAGUGAAAUCCCAUGGCUUAACCAUGGAACUGCUUUUGAAACUGUGCAGCUAGAGUGCAGGAGAGGUAAGCGGAAUUCCUAGUGUAGCGGUGAAAUGCGUAGAUAUUAGGAGGAACACCAGUGGCGAAGGCGGCUUACUGGAAUGUAACUGACGUUGAGGCUCGAAAGCGUGGGGAGCAAACAGGAUUAGAUACCCGAGUAGUC